RNAcentral lists this ribosomal RNA (465 nucleotides) under Vreelandella stevensii. RNAcentral describes it as "partial 16S ribosomal RNA". It matches the Rfam family "Bacterial small subunit ribosomal RNA", at positions 338 to 795 of the family's 1533-position model. The record is from RNAcentral. Lineage: Bacteria; Pseudomonadati; Pseudomonadota; Gammaproteobacteria; Oceanospirillales; Halomonadaceae.
CCUACGGGUGGCUGCAGUGGGGAAUAUUGGACAAUGGGGGGAACCCUGAUCCAGCCGUGCCGCGUGUGUGAAGAAGGCCCUCGGGUUGUAAAGCACUUUCAGUGAGGAAGAACGCCUGGUGGUUAAUACCCAUCAGGAAAGACAUCACUCACAGAAGAAGCACCGGCUAACUCCGUGUCAGCAGCCGCGGUAAUACGGAGGGUGCGAGCGUUAAUCGGAAUUACUGGGCGUAAAGCGCGCGUAGGUGGCUUGAUAAGCCGGUUGUGAAAGCCCCGGGCUCAACCUGGGAACGGCAUCCGGAACUGUCAAGCUAGAGUGCAGGAGAGGAAGGUAGAAUUCCCGGUGUAGCGGUGAAAUGCGUAGAGAUCGGGAGGAAUACCAGUGGCGAAGGCGGCCUUCUGGACUGACACUGACACUGAGGUGCGAAAGCGUGGGUAGCAAACAGGAUUAGAUACCCCAGUAGUC